Molecule: ribosomal RNA, 507 nt
Filed under: uncultured Hyphomonas sp.
Lineage: Bacteria; Pseudomonadati; Pseudomonadota; Alphaproteobacteria; Hyphomonadales; Hyphomonadaceae
Description: bacterial SSU rRNA
Rfam family: Bacterial small subunit ribosomal RNA
Source: RNAcentral
GGAAUUACUGGGCGUAAAGCGUACGUAGGCGGAUUAGUAAGUUAGAGGUGAAAUCCCAGGGCUCAACCCUGGAACUGCCUUUAAUACUGCUAGUCUAGAGUUCGAGAGAGGUGAGUGGAAUUCCAAGUGUAGAGGUGAAAUUCGUAGAUAUUCGGUGGAACACCAGUGGCGAAGGCGGCUAACUGGACUGGUACUGACGCUGAGGUGCGAAAGUGUGGGGAGCAAACAGGAUUAGAUACCCUGGUAGUCCACACCGUAAACGAUGAGAGCUAGUUGUUGGCAGGCAUGCCUGUCGGUGACGCAGCUAACGCAUUAAGCUCUCCGCCUGGGGAGUACGGUCGCAAGAUUAAAACUCAAAGAAAUUGACGGGGGCCCGCACAAGCGGUGGAGCAUGUGGUUUAAUUCGAAGCAACGCGCAGAACCUUACCUACCCUUGACAUACCGAUCGCGGUUUCCAGAGAUGGAUUCCUUCAGUUAGGCUGGAUCGGAUACAGGUGCUGCAUGGCU